CGAACGGGUGAGUAACACGUGAGUAAUCUGCCUCUAGCUCUGGGAUAGCUCCGGGAAACCGGGAUUAAUACCGGAUAUGACCACUUCGGACAUCUGUUGUGGUGGAAAGUUUUUCGGCUGGAGAUGAGCUCGCGGCCUAUCAGCUUGUUGGUGGGGUAAUGGCCUACCAAGGCGACGACGGGUAGCCGGCCUGAGAGGGCGACCGGCCACACUGGGACUGAGACACGGCCCAG
This 233-nucleotide ribosomal RNA is filed under the name uncultured bacterium. RNAcentral describes it as "partial 16S ribosomal RNA". It matches the Rfam family "Bacterial small subunit ribosomal RNA", at positions 99 to 334 of the family's 1533-position model. The record is from RNAcentral.